This 465-nucleotide ribosomal RNA is filed under the name uncultured bacterium. Its description in RNAcentral is "bacterial SSU rRNA". It matches the Rfam family "Bacterial small subunit ribosomal RNA", at positions 339 to 796 of the family's 1533-position model. The record is from RNAcentral.
CUACGGGAGGCAGCAGUGGGGAAUUUUGGACAAUGGGCGAAAGCCUGAUCCAGCCAUGCCGCGUGAGUGAAGAAGGCCUUCGGGUUGUAAAGCUCUUUCAGGUGGAAAGAAAGCGGAUGGGCUAAUACCCUGUUCGGAUGACGGUACCACCAGAAGAAGCACCGGCUAACUACGUGCCAGCAGCCGCGGUAAUACGUAGGGUGCGAGCGUUAAUCGGAAUUACUGGGCGUAAAGCGUGCGCAGGCGGUUGUGUAAGACAGGUGUGAAAUCCCCGGGCUUAACCUGGGAACUGCGCUUGUGACUGCACAGCUAGAGUACGGCAGAGGGGGGUAGAAUUCCACGUGUAGCAGUGAAAUGCGUAGAAAUGUGGAGGAAUACCGAUGGCGAAGGCAGCCCCCUGGGCCAAUACUGACGCUGAGGUGCGAAAGCGUGGGGAGCAAACAGGAUUAGAUACCCUUGUAGUCC